AGAGUUUGAUCCUGGCUCAGAAUCAACGCUGGCGGCGCGCUUAACACAUGCAAGUCGAACGAGAAAGUGGAGCAAUCCAUGAGUACAGUGGCGUACGGGUGAGUAACACGUGGGUAAUCUACCUUUUAGUGUGGAAUAACCCUGGGAAACCGGGGCUAAUACCGCAUAAGCUCGAGAGAGGAAAGUCGCAAGACGCUGAAAGAGGAGCCCGCGGCCGAUUAGCUAGUUGGCAGGGUAAGAGCCUACCAAGGCAGAGAUCGGUAGCCGGCCUGAGAGGGCACACGGCCACACUGGCACUGAAACACGGGCCAGACUCCUACGGGAGGCAGCAGUGGGGAAUCUUGCACAAUGGGGGCAACCCUGAUGCAGCGACGCCGCGUGAGCGAUGAAGCCCUUCGGGGUGUAAAGCUCUUUCGGCAGGGAAGAUAAUGACGGUACCUGCAGAAGCAGCUGCGGCUAACUACGUGCCAGCAGCCGCGGUAAUACGUAGGCAGCGAGCGUUGUUCGGAGUUACUGGGCGUAAAGGGUGUGUAGGCGGUUGUUUAAGUUUGGUGUGAAAUCUCCCGGCUCAACUGGGAGGGUGCGCCGAAUACUGAAUGACUAGAGUGCGGGAGAGGAAAGUGGAAUUCCUGGUGUAGCGGUGAAAUGCGUAGAUAUCAGGAGGAACACCGGUGGUGUAGACGGCUUUCUGGACCGUAACUGACGCUGAGACACGAAAGCGUGGGUAGCAAACAGGAUUAGAUACCCUAGUAGUCC
Molecule: ribosomal RNA, 756 nt
Filed under: uncultured bacterium
Lineage: Bacteria
Description: bacterial SSU rRNA
Rfam family: Bacterial small subunit ribosomal RNA
Source: RNAcentral